Small nuclear RNA from Fukomys damarensis (Damara mole-rat), 105 nucleotides. The record is from Ensembl. NCBI's taxonomy places the organism in Eukaryota, Metazoa, Chordata, Mammalia, Rodentia, Bathyergidae.
GUUUUCUUUGAUAGUACUUACACUAAAAUUGGGAUAAUACAGAAAAGAUUAGCAUGGUCCCUGCACAAGAAUGACAUGCAAAUUCAUGGGGUGUUCCAUAUUUUU